This 66-nucleotide transfer RNA is filed under the name Caloptilia theivora. RNAcentral describes it as "tRNA-His". Lineage: Eukaryota; Metazoa; Arthropoda; Insecta; Lepidoptera; Gracillariidae. The record is from RNAcentral.
AUUUAAAUAAUUUAAUACAAAAUAUUGAUUUGUGGUAUCAAAAAUGUAAAUAAUUUACUUUAGAUU